Molecule: unclassified non-coding RNA, 184 nt
Filed under: uncultured fungus
Lineage: Eukaryota; Fungi
Description: sequence contains ITS1
Source: RNAcentral
UCAGAGUGUCUGACCCCCCUUGUAAAAUAGUGGGGUUAACCUCCCGUCCUUUGCUAACUCUCCCCUUUUUUUUUUGGGAGGGGGCAUUUAAAUUUCUGCUUCGGUGGGGUUUUACCCACCGGAACACCCUCAAAAAUUCUUUUUUAAAAAUUAUUCAGUCCGAGAAUUUUUUGAAUUAAACAAA